UCUCAGUUCGGAUUGUAGUCUGCAACUCGACUACAUGAAGCUGGAAUCGCUAGUAAUCGCGAAUCAGCAUGUCGCGGUGAAUACGUUCCCGGGUCUUGUACACACCGCCGUCACACCAUGGGAGUUGGUAACGCCCGAAGCCAGUGACCCAACCGGAAACGGAGGGAGCUGUCGAAGGUGGGACCGAUAACUGGGGUGAAGUCGUAACAAGGUAAC
Molecule: ribosomal RNA, 216 nt
Filed under: uncultured bacterium
Lineage: Bacteria
Description: partial 16S ribosomal RNA
Rfam family: Bacterial small subunit ribosomal RNA
Source: RNAcentral